This 211-nucleotide long non-coding RNA is filed under the name Capsicum annuum. RNAcentral describes it as "long non-coding RNA (CANN_LNC015347)". The record is from RNAcentral. Lineage: Eukaryota; Viridiplantae; Streptophyta; Magnoliopsida; Solanales; Solanaceae.
UAGUUUCAAGACAUGUAUGAAACACCUACUCUAGAUGAAAAGUGAAGAAUUUUUUUUUUGGAGUUUUUUAAAUAAGAUCCCCGAACUAUAAUAGGCUACCCACGUAUCUCACUCCCGAGAGAGGAGAAUCAGGGGUGCGUAGUUCAUCCAGAUCGGACAAUUAACGAUUAACUAAUAAAUUGACCCUAACUUAAGAGACACAACCAAAAAC